GUGUCAGCAGCCGCGGUAAUACAGAGGGUGCGAGCGUUAAUCGGAGUUACUGGGCGUAAAGGGCGCGUAGGUGGUUGUGUGUGAGUGAUGUGAAAGCCCCGGGCUUAACCUGGGAAGUGCAUCGCUAACUGCAUAACUUGAGUAGGUGAGAGGGUAGCGGAAUUUCCGGUGUAGCGGUGAAAUGCGUAGAGAUCGGAAGGAACGUCAAUGGCGAAGGCAGCUACCUGGCACCAUACUGACACUGAGGCGCGAAAGCGUGGGGAGCGAACAGGAUUAGAUACCCUGGUAGUCC
RNAcentral lists this ribosomal RNA (292 nucleotides) under uncultured bacterium. RNAcentral describes it as "partial 16S ribosomal RNA". It matches the Rfam family "Bacterial small subunit ribosomal RNA", at positions 505 to 796 of the family's 1533-position model. The record is from RNAcentral.